This 1117-nucleotide ribosomal RNA is filed under the name Hysterobrevium mori. Its description in RNAcentral is "eukaryotic LSU rRNA". It matches the Rfam family "Eukaryotic large subunit ribosomal RNA", at positions 1 to 1083 of the family's 3401-position model. Lineage: Eukaryota; Fungi; Ascomycota; Dothideomycetes; Hysteriales; Hysteriaceae. The record is from RNAcentral.
CAGAUGUUCGCUCGGUGGGCUUGGUACGGCAGCGGCCGCGACGACAACCUCUAGGUUGACCUCGGAUCAGGUAGGGAUACCCGCUGAACUUAAGCAUAUCAAUAAGCGGAGGAAAAGAAACCAACAGGGAUUGCCUUAGUAACGGCGAGUGAAGCGGCAACAGCUCAAAUUUGAAAUCUGGCUCUUUCAGGGUCCGAGUUGUAAUUUGUAGAGGAUGCUUCGGCGUGGGCCCCGGUCUAAGUUCCUUGGAACAGGACGUCACAGAGGGUGAGAAUCCCGUACGUGGCCGGUGGCGCUCGCCAUGUGAAGCUCCUUCGACGAGUCGAGUUGUUUGGGAAUGCAGCUCUAAAUGGGAGGUAAAUUUCUUCUAAAGCUAAAUACCGGCCAGAGACCGAUAGCGCACAAGUAGAGUGAUCGAAAGAUGAAAAGCACUUUGGAAAGAGAGUCAAACAGUACGUGAAAUUGUUGAAAGGGAAGCGCUUGCAACCAGACCUGCCCGUAGUCGCUCAUCCAGGCUUCUGCCUGGUGCACUCUUCUGCGGUCAGGCCAGCGUCAGUUCUGGCGGUCGGAUAAAGGCGGUGGGAAUGUGGCUCCUCUCGGGGAGUGUUAUAGCCCACCGUGCAAUGCGGCCAGCCGGGACUGAGGUCCGCGCUUCGGCUAGGACGCUGGCGUAAUGGUUGUAAGCGGCCCGUCUUGAAACACGGACCAAGGAGUCUAACAUCUGUGCGAGUGUUCGGGUGUCAAGCCCGUACGCGUAAUGAAAGUGAACGGAGGCGGGAACCUUAGGGUGCACCGUCGACCGAUCCUGAUGUCUUCGGAUGGAUUUGAGUAAGAGCAUAGCUGUUGGGACCCGAAAGAUGGUGAACUAUGCCUGAAUAGGGUGAAGCCAGAGGAAACUCUGGUGGAGGCUCGCAGCGGUUCUGACGUGCAAAUCGAUCGUCAAAUUUGGGCAUAGGGGCGAAAGACUAAUCGAACUAUCUAGUAGCUGGUUCCUGCCGAAGUUUCCCUCAGGAUAGCAGUAACGUUUUCAGUUUUAUGAGGUAAAGCGAAUGAUUAGAGGCGAUGGGGGUUGAAACAACCUUCACCUAUUCUCAAACUUUAAAUAUGUAAGAAGUCC